AUACGUAGGGGGCGAGCGUUGUCCGGAAUGAUUGGGCGUAAAGGGCGCGUAGGCGGCCCGGUAAGUCUGGAGUGAAAGUCCUGUUUUUAAGAUGGGAAUUGCUUUGGAUACUGUCGGGCUUGAGUGCAGGAGAGGUAAGUGGAAUUCCCAGUGUAGCGGUGAAAUGCGUAGAGAUUGGGAGGAACACCAGUGGCGAAGGCGCUUUACUGGACUGUAACCGACGCUGAGGCGCGAAAGUGUGGGGAGCAAACAGGAUUAGAUACCCUGGUAGCCCACACUGUAAACGAUGAAUGCUAGGUGUAGGGGGUAUCGACCCCUUCUGUGCCGCAGUCAACACAAUAAGCAUUCCGCCUGGGGAGUACGGCCGCAAGGUUGAAACUCAAAUGAAUUGACGGGG
Molecule: ribosomal RNA, 397 nt
Filed under: uncultured bacterium
Lineage: Bacteria
Description: partial 16S ribosomal RNA
Rfam family: Bacterial small subunit ribosomal RNA
Source: RNAcentral